This 426-nucleotide ribosomal RNA is filed under the name uncultured bacterium. Its description in RNAcentral is "partial 16S ribosomal RNA". It matches the Rfam family "Bacterial small subunit ribosomal RNA", at positions 355 to 794 of the family's 1533-position model. The record is from RNAcentral.
UGGGGAAUAUUGCACAAUGGGCGAAAGCCUGAUGCAGCGACGCCGCGUGAGGGAUGACGGCCUUCGGGUUGUAAACCUCUUUCAGCAGGGAAGAAGCGAAAGUGACGGUACCUGCAGAAGAAGCGCCGGCUAACUACGUGCCAGCAGCCGCGGUAAUACGUAGGGCGCAAGCGUUGUCCGGAAUUAUUGGGCGUAAAGAGCUCGUAGGCGGUUAGUCGCGUCUGCUGUGAAAACUCGAGGCUCAACCUCGGGCUUGCAGUGGGUAACGGGCUGACUAGAGUGCGGUAGGGGUGACUGGAAUUCCUGGUGUAGCGGUGGAAUGCGCAGAUAUCAGGAGGAACACCGAUGGCGAAGGCAGGUCACUGGGCCGCAACUGACGCUGAGGAGCGAAAGCAUGGGAGCGACAGGAUUAGAUACCCUGGUAGU